This is a regulatory RNA element of Erwinia mallotivora, 89 nucleotides long. It matches the Rfam family "Peptidase-S11 RNA". Rfam says of the family: Enterobacteria. The record is from Rfam. NCBI's taxonomy places the organism in Bacteria, Pseudomonadati, Pseudomonadota, Gammaproteobacteria, Enterobacterales, Erwiniaceae.
UGUAUGAUGCGCAAGCCAGCCCCCGUUAAGACCUUAUGGCACGGUGGCAGCGUGCAGCCUGGCUGCAUCUGAAUCAUCAUCCGGUUAAG